RNAcentral lists this transfer RNA (69 nucleotides) under Primolius couloni (blue-headed macaw). RNAcentral's name for it is "tRNA-Thr". It matches the Rfam family "tRNA". Rfam says of the family: Transfer RNA (tRNA) molecules are approximately 80 nucleotides in length. Their secondary structure includes four short double-helical elements and three loops (D, anti-codon, and T loops). Lineage: Eukaryota; Metazoa; Chordata; Aves; Psittaciformes; Psittacidae. The record is from RNAcentral.
ACUCUAAUAGUUUACAAAAAACAUUGGUCUUGUAAACCAAAAGACGAAGGCUUACUACUUCUUAGAGUU